GACGAACGCUGGCGGCGUGCUUAACACAUGCAAGUCGAGCGGUAAGGCCCUUUCGGGGGUACACGAGCGGCGAACGGGUGAGUAACACGUGGGUGACCUGCCCUCAGCUCUGGGAUAAGCCUGGGAAACCGGGUCUAAUACCGGAUAUGACUCCAUGACGCAUGUUGGUGGGGUGGAAAGCCUUGUGCGGCUGAGGAUGGGCCCGCGCCUAUCAGCUUGUUGGUGGGGUGAGGCCUACCAAGGCGACGACGGGUAGCCGGCCUGAGAGGGCGACCGGCCACACUGGGACUGAGACACGGCCCAGACUCCUACGGGAGGCAGCAGUGGGGAAUCUUGCGCAAUGGGCGAAAGCCUGACGCAGCGACGCCGCGUGAGGGAUGACGGCC
Molecule: ribosomal RNA, 386 nt
Filed under: uncultured bacterium
Lineage: Bacteria
Description: bacterial SSU rRNA
Rfam family: Bacterial small subunit ribosomal RNA
Source: RNAcentral